AGGACGAACGCUGGCGGCGUGCUUAACACAUGCAAGUGGAGCGACGAACCAGGCUUCGGCCUGGGGCAGAGCCGCGAACGGGUGAGUAACACGUGGGUAACCUGCCCUGAUGACUGGGACAACCCGGGGAAACCCGGGCUAAUACCGGAUGUGCUGCUCUCACACCAGUGGGAGUAGGAAAGGAAGCUUCGGCCUCCGCAUCAGGAUGGGCCCGCGGCCCAUUAGCUUGUUGGUGAGGUAACGGCUCACCAAGGCUUCGAUGGGUAGC
This 268-nucleotide ribosomal RNA is filed under the name uncultured bacterium. RNAcentral describes it as "partial small subunit ribosomal RNA". It matches the Rfam family "Bacterial small subunit ribosomal RNA", at positions 26 to 287 of the family's 1533-position model. The record is from RNAcentral.